GAUUGUUUGAUCCUGGCUCAGGAUGAACGCUAGCGGGAGGCUUAAUACAUGCAAGUCGAGCGGCAAGGUCCUCGGACCAUAGAGCGGCGCACGGGUGAGUAACGCGUACGCAAUCUGCCCUUCAGUGAGGAAUAGCCCUGGGAAACUGGGAUUAAUACCUCAUAAUAUUGUUUGUUCGCAUGGAUAGACAAUUAAAGUUCUGGCGCUGAAGGAUGAGCGUGCGUCUGAUUAGCUAGUUGGUAGGGUAACGGCCUACCAAGGCGACGAUCAGUAGGGGGCGUGAGAGCGUGACCCCCCACACGGGUACUGAGACACGGACCCGACUCCUACGGGAGGCAGCAGUAAGGAAUAUUGGGCAAUGGAGGCAACUCUGACCCAGCCAUCCCGCGUGAAGGAUUAAGGCCCUAUGGGUUGUAAACUUCUUUUGCUUGGGAAGAAAUCAGGACAUUUAUGUGCUGUUGACGGUACCUUGCGAAUAAGCACCGGCUAACUCCGUGCCAGCAGCCGCGGUAAUACGGAGGGUGCAAGCGUUAUCCGGAAUCACUGGGUUUAAAGGGUGCGUAGGCGGUUCGAUAAGUCAGAGGUGAAAGCUAGCAGCUUAACUGUUAAAUUGCCUUUGAUACUGUCGGACUUGAAUCAGGUUGAGGUAGGCGGAAUGUGACAUGUAGCGGUGAAAUGCAUAGAUAUGUCAUAGAACACCAAUUGCGUAGGCAGCUUGCUGGGCUUGAAUUGACGCUGAGGCACGAAAGCGUGGGGAUCAAACAGGAUUAGAUACCCUGGUAGUCCACGCCCUAAACGAUGUUAACUCGAUAUUUAUUCUUCGGAGUGAGUGCCAAGCGAAAGCGUUAAGUAACCACCUGGA
Molecule: ribosomal RNA, 862 nt
Filed under: uncultured bacterium
Lineage: Bacteria
Description: bacterial SSU rRNA
Rfam family: Bacterial small subunit ribosomal RNA
Source: RNAcentral